AAAGAACAAGAAGAAGAAG
This 19-nucleotide small RNA is filed under the name Arabidopsis thaliana (thale cress). RNAcentral describes it as "ATSL251470". Lineage: Eukaryota; Viridiplantae; Streptophyta; Magnoliopsida; Brassicales; Brassicaceae. The record is from RNAcentral.